Melanotaenia boesemani (Boeseman's rainbowfish) is the source of this 773-nucleotide long non-coding RNA. RefSeq lists it as uncharacterized. The record is from RefSeq and is a predicted model, not a curated record. NCBI's taxonomy places the organism in Eukaryota, Metazoa, Chordata, Actinopteri, Atheriniformes, Melanotaeniidae. The transcript is spliced from 3 exons.
UGGAGCUGUACAAUGCAAAAAGUGGGAUUGUUGGUCUGCAGAGGCUCACAAAAAGUCUUGCUGAUGAUAGCUCCAUACUGAAGAAGAGGACUGUUCUUCUGCUGGGCCUUCCUUAUUUUCUCAAGGAGGAUCCCUCAUGCCUUUUCAAGACUGUGCAGGCUACAGACAAUGAGGAUGUAUUUACAAAGGGAAUGAAAGCUGGCAUUGUGUUGGUGAAAGAAGGAGAAGACAUCAUUGAUGUUUCAGUGGUCCUCGAGGAAGCAGUGUUCCUGUGUGAUCUGAGGGAUGUCCCAAAUGCUGUUGCCAUGCUGAUGGGACUUCUUUUUGCCCUCAACAUCGACUACCCAAAAAAACUGAGGUACACCUUUGAAGUCAUUCAGAAGGUCCUCAUGAACAUUGGUGGAGGACAGUGUUCCUCUCUUGUGCAUGGGUUACGAAACAGACUCCUUCGGACAACUGUUUAAGACUGUGCUCUGAUAACUGCUCUCUGCCUGUUAAAAUUGAAUUUGAUAUUGACGUUUUUAUUUGACAUUUAUUUUAUCUGUUGCACACAUUAUUUUGAAAUUCACAAUUUCUCUUUGGUACAUUACUAAAUGAGCAAACAUAAUGGCACAGUUAGCAGCAGAACUUGUUCAUUAGCAUCUUUGUUCUCAGAGAUUUUAUUCCAAAAGAAUUAGGGCAGUGUACACUAUAAAGAUUCAUUCAAAGGUUCUCAAGGAUUUUGAAUGUUGAUACUUUUUCACUUCUGCAUUGUUUUAACAAAAAGACCGUUG